Molecule: long non-coding RNA, 448 nt
Organism: Limulus polyphemus (Atlantic horseshoe crab)
Lineage: Eukaryota; Metazoa; Arthropoda; Merostomata; Xiphosura; Limulidae
Exons: 3
Source: RefSeq, a predicted model, not a curated record
CUUCAACUAUGUAAAGACUGCGCAGGCAACAUCAAGAGGUUACAUUGUUGAAAAUAAUCGUUUUCUUCUCUCUCAUUGUCCCGCGAAGUGAAAACCGCAGUGAAAAUAUUUCUCAUUACGCUAUUGACGACAUCUUAUCAUCCGAGGCCUUCUUUCCACUCUGGGAUGUGAGACUGCAUUCUGUGACAUCGCAGUGUAUGCAUGGGUACUGCGGUGUCUUCUUCGUGGUUACGCUUAAACAAAUCGACUCACUCGAUCGAACCAUCCAACGUGAUCGCCAAAUCGCCCAGAAAAUAGGUUUACAUUUGAGAGAAGGGAUUUUUCGACAGUAAUAGAUUCUCGGCUGGAACCAACAGACCACCAGAAAUGGCGGAUACGGCCGAAGGAAGUUCCGAGCAGGAUGAUGUGUCAUUCUUACGAACAGUAGAUAUGCUUUGUCUACAAUGUA